RNAcentral lists this non-coding RNA (29 nucleotides) under Homo sapiens (human). Lineage: Eukaryota; Metazoa; Chordata; Mammalia; Primates; Hominidae. The record is from RNAcentral.
UGCCAUGGGUCCUAAACAUCGCAGCAUGA